CUCCUACCUGUUAGCAUUAAC
This 21-nucleotide microRNA is filed under the name Mus musculus (house mouse). Its description in RNAcentral is "mmu-miR-155-3p". Its record names the gene mmu-miR-155-3p. RNAcentral also lists the same sequence under 1 other name. The record is from miRBase by way of RNAcentral. Lineage: Eukaryota; Metazoa; Chordata; Mammalia; Rodentia; Muridae.